AGAGGUCCUGACUGACCCAGGUUAUGAGCAGAGAGAGGUCCUGACUGACCCAGGUUAUGAGCAGAGAGAGGUCCUGACUGACCCAGGUUAUGAGCAGAGAGAGGUCCUGACUGACCCAGGUUAUGAGCAGAGAGAGGUCCUGACUUACCCAGGUUAUGAGCAGAGAGAGGUCCUGACUUACCCAGGUUAUGAGCAGAGAGAGGUCCUGACUUACCCAGGUUAUGAGCAGAGAGAGGUGACUGACCCAGGUUAUGAGCAGAGAGAGGUCCUGACUGACCUAGGUUAUGAGCAGAGAGAGGUCCUGACUGACCCAGGUUAUGAGCAGAGAGAGGUCCUGACUUACCCAGGUUAUGAGCAGAGAGAGGU
Long non-coding RNA from Oncorhynchus keta (chum salmon), 366 nucleotides. RefSeq lists it as uncharacterized. The transcript has 3 exons. NCBI's taxonomy places the organism in Eukaryota, Metazoa, Chordata, Actinopteri, Salmoniformes, Salmonidae. The record is from RefSeq and is a predicted model, not a curated record.